This 471-nucleotide ribosomal RNA is filed under the name uncultured bacterium. RNAcentral describes it as "partial 16S ribosomal RNA". It matches the Rfam family "Bacterial small subunit ribosomal RNA", at positions 28 to 507 of the family's 1533-position model. The record is from RNAcentral.
GACGAACGCUGGCGGCGUGCUUAACACAUGCAAGUCGAACGAUGAAGCGGUGCUUGCACCGUGGCUUAGUGGCGAACGGGUGAGUAAUACGUGAGUGACCUACCUUUUACUCUGGGAUAAGCCUGGGAAACUGGGUCUAAUACCGGAUACGACCAAUCUCUGCAUGGGGUGUUGGUGGAAAGCGUUAUGGUGUGGUUUUAGAUGGGCUCACGGCCUAUCGGCUUGUUGGUGAGGUAAUGGCUUACCAAGGCGACGACGGGUAGCCGGCCUGAGAGGGUGACCGGCCACACUGGGACUGAGACACGGCCCAGACUCCUACGGGAGGCAGCAGUGGGGAAUAUUGCACAAUGGGCGCAAGCCUGAUGCAGCGACGCCGCGUGAGGGAUGACGGCCUUCGGGUUGUAAACCUCUGUUAGCAUCGAAGAAGCGAAAGUGACGGUAGGUGCAGAGAAAGCGCCGGCUAACUACGUG